AAUUUUGGUUUUGUUUGUGGGCAUGAUUGUUUUAGCUCAUGUCUCAUGAUUCAUGAUGAUUGGAAAGCAUGAGUUGAUCAAUCAGGCCAGGAAACAGAACCACCUUC
Molecule: non-coding RNA, 107 nt
Organism: Tribolium castaneum (red flour beetle)
Lineage: Eukaryota; Metazoa; Arthropoda; Insecta; Coleoptera; Tenebrionidae
Source: RefSeq, marked provisional